GAUGAACGCUGGCGGCGUGCCUAAUACAUGCAAGUCGAGCGAACAGAUGAGGAGCUUGCUCCUCUGACGUUAGCGGCGGACGGGUGAGUAACACGUGGAUAACCUACCUAUAAGACUGGGAUAACCUCGGGAAACCGGAGCUAAUACCGGAUAAUAUAUUGAACCGCAUGGUUCAAUAGUGAAAGACGGUUUUGCUGUCACUUAUAGAUGGAUCCGCGCCGCAUUAGCUAGUUGGUAAGGUAACGGCUUACCAAGGCAACGAUGCGUAGCCGACCUGAGAGGGUGAUCGGCCACACUGGAACUGAGACACGGUCCAGACUCCUACGGGAGGCAGCAGUAGGGAAUCUUCCGCAAAGGGCGAAAGCCUGACGGAGCAACGCCGCGUGAGUGAUGAAGGUCUUCGGAUCGUAAAACUCUGUUAUUAGGGAAGAACAAAUGUGUAAGUAACUAUGCACGUCUUGACGGUACCUAAUCAGAAAGCCACGGCUAACUACGUG
RNAcentral lists this ribosomal RNA (497 nucleotides) under uncultured bacterium. RNAcentral describes it as "partial 16S ribosomal RNA". It matches the Rfam family "Bacterial small subunit ribosomal RNA", at positions 28 to 507 of the family's 1533-position model. The record is from RNAcentral.